GCAUUCCCAAGACGAUUCAUAUUUUAAGUCCAGAAAUUAACUGGAAGACUAUCAAAUGUCUUCCUAUUCCAUUCCUAAUCAGGUGAGACAUUUUUACUCUAAAUAUUUUUAUGAAAAAGUUAUGUACCAUAAUCAAAUAGUCUAUUUGUUCUAUGGUUUUGUUUAAUGGCAGUUGGGAACUUUUCUAAAUACCAUCAAAAGAAUCCUUGAUGUUCUACAUUGUAGAGUAGAAGACAAACUCAAGUCAUGGGCAUCGUAUCUUCCAGCCAGCGGUGAUAAAAAGUCAAAACUUAUAGGGAGCAAAUGAAUGCGGUUACUGUCUUGUUAAGGGUAAAAAACAAAAACUAUAUGCAGGUUGUUAUGAUCAAACUCAUUAGUAAUGUGCAAGCAAGUCACAGCACAUGAAGUCAAAGAAUUCUUGAAGAAAUGAAGAUGACGGAGAGAGGGUCCCUGAAAGGAUGCAAAUUUUGUGCUCACCGCUAGUGGAAUAUGUAUCUAACUUGCAUAAAGUUUUUACAGAUCAAAUAUUCAUUGCUAGUUGUCGUGGUUUAUGGGAUAGAAUCAUAGAAUGGGACAGAGAUUGUAUUGAAGUUUCUGAAAGCUAGAAAGGAAAAUCAUGUAUGGUACAACGGAUCUUAUUAUGCUCUUGGAAUUUUGGAUGAUACUUUUGCUUCCCAGAUGCGAAGAUUGCAAGGAAAUGCGUUACAAGGGAAAGAUAUUAAACCACCGCGCUCAAUGAUUGAAGCUCAGCUCGUUCCUUUCUUGGCAGAGAUUCGGAUGCAGCAAAUACUUCCACCUACUUCUAUUAAAGUAAUAUAAACUUAGUGUGCAAUACUUUCAUGUGUUCAGUUUAUAUGUAUAUGAUAGUCAACUAGGGGAAUCGAUCCACCUUUGUACGUUUUGUUAUAGUUAUCUAUUACGAGUAUAUUUUAGGUUAAUACAACAAUUCCACAAUCUACUCUAUAUAGAUACGUUUGUUUGUUAUUGUCGUUGUGUUUA
This is a long non-coding RNA of Erigeron canadensis, 999 nucleotides long. RefSeq lists it as uncharacterized. The transcript is spliced from 4 exons. The record is from RefSeq and is a predicted model, not a curated record. NCBI's taxonomy places the organism in Eukaryota, Viridiplantae, Streptophyta, Magnoliopsida, Asterales, Asteraceae.